CAACCUACCUAUCAGAGGGGAAUAACCCGGCGAAAGUCGGACUAAUACCGCAUAAAACAGGGGCACCGCNUGGUGAUAUUUGUUAAAGAAAUUCGCUGAUAGAUGGGCAUGCGUUCCAUUAGGUAGUUGGUGAGGUAACGGCUCACCAAGCCGACGAUGGAUAGGGGAACUGAGAGGUUGGUCCCCCACACUGGUACUGAGACACGGACCAGACUCCUACGGGAGGCAGCAGUGAGGAAUAUUGGUCAAUGGGCGGGAGCCUGAACCAGCCAAGUCGCGUGAAGGAAGAAGGAUCUAUGGUUCGUAAACUUCUUUUGCAGGGGAAUAAAGUGCAGGACGUGUCCUGUUUUGUAUGUACCCUGAGAAUAAGGAUCGGCUAACUCCGUGCCAGCAGCCGCGGUAAUACGGAGGAUCCGAGCGUUAUCCGGAUUUAUUGGGUUUAAAGGGUGCGUAGGUGGUUUGAUAAGUCAGCGGUGAAAGUUUGCAGCUUAACUGUAAAAUGCCGUUGAAACUGUCGGACUUGAGUGUAAAUGAGGUAGGCGGAAUGCGUGGUGUAGCGGUGAAAUGCAUAGAUAUCACGAAGAACUCCGAUUG
Molecule: ribosomal RNA, 594 nt
Filed under: uncultured Bacteroidota bacterium
Lineage: Bacteria; Pseudomonadati; Bacteroidota
Description: bacterial SSU rRNA
Rfam family: Bacterial small subunit ribosomal RNA
Source: RNAcentral